GAUCGUGGCUCAGGAUGAACGCUGGCGGCGUGCCUAAUACAUCCAAGUCGAGCGGGAUCCUCUAGAUUCGUCUGGAGGUGAGAGCGGCGGACGGGUGAGUAACACGUAGGCGACCUGCCCCGAAGACAGGGAUAACCAUCGGAAACGGUGGCUAAUACCUGAUGUGCUCGGCAAUUCGUUUUGCCGAGUAAAGGCUCCGGCGCUUCGGGAUGGACCUGCGGCCUAUCAGCUAGUUGGUAGGGUAACGGCCUACCAAGGCAAAGACGGGUAGGGGGCGUGAGAGCGUGAUCCCCCACAAUGGCACUGAGACACGGGCCAUACUCCUACGGGAGGCAGCAGUCAGGGAUAUUGCACAAUGGGCGAAAGCUUGAUGCAGCGACGCCGCGUGGGCGAUGAAGGCCUUCGGGUUGUAAGGCCCUUUUCUGGGGGAAGAGACAAGGACGGUACCCCAGGAAUAAGCGCCGGCUAACUACGUGCCAGCAGCCGCGGUAAAACGUAGGGCGCAAGCGUUAUCCGGAUUCACUGGGCGUAAAGUGCGUUGAGGCGGUUCCGUAAGUUGGACGUUAAAGCCCCCGGCCUAACUGGGGGAGGCCGUUCAAUACUGCGGAACUUGAGGGCAGCAGAGGCAGGUGGAAUUCCCGGUGUAGUAGUGAAAUGCGUAGAUAUCGGGAGGAACACCCGUGGCGAAGGCGGCCUGCUGGGCUGCUCCUGACGCUGAAGGCGAAAGCUAGGGUAGCAAACGGGAUUAGAAACCCCGGUAGUCCUAGCCGUAAACGAUGGAUGCUGGGCGUGGGGGGUAUAGACUCCCCCCGUGCCGAAGCUAACGCGUUAAGCAUCCCGCCUGGGGACUACGGCCGCAAGGCUAAAACUCAAACGAAUUGACGGGUCCCCGCACAAGCAGCGGAGCGUGUGGUUCAAUUCGAUUUACACGAAGAACCUUACCUGGGUUUGACAUGUGGGUAGUAGUGAAGCGAAAGCGGAACGACCCUUCGGGGAGCCUACACAGGUGCUGCAUGGCUGUCGUCAGCUCGUGCCGUGAGGUGUCGGGUUAAGUCCCGUAACGAGCGCAACCCUCGUCCUUAGUUACAAGUGUCUAGGGAGACUGCCGGCGACAAGCCGGAGGAAGGUGAGGAUGACGUCAAGUCAGCAUGGCCUUUAUAUCCAGGGCUACACACACGCUACAAUGGCCGGCACAAUGGG
This 1200-nucleotide ribosomal RNA is filed under the name metagenome. RNAcentral describes it as "bacterial SSU rRNA". It matches the Rfam family "Bacterial small subunit ribosomal RNA", at positions 15 to 1246 of the family's 1533-position model. The record is from RNAcentral.